RNAcentral lists this ribosomal RNA (505 nucleotides) under uncultured bacterium. RNAcentral's name for it is "partial 16S ribosomal RNA". It matches the Rfam family "Bacterial small subunit ribosomal RNA", at positions 29 to 523 of the family's 1533-position model. The record is from RNAcentral.
AGUGAACGCUGGCGGUAGGCCUAACACGUGCAAGUCGAACGGCAGCACAGGAGAGCUUGCUCUCUGGGUGGCGAGUGGCGGACGGGUGAGGAAUACAUCGGAAUCUACUUUUUCGUGGGGGAUAACGUAGGGAAACUUACGCUAUACCGCAUACGACCUACGGGUGAAAGCAGGGGACCUUCGGGCCUUGCGCGAUUGAAUGAGCCGAUGUCGGAUUAGCUAGUUGGCGGGGUAAAGGACCACCAAGGCGACGAUCCGUAGCUGGUCUGAGAGGAUGAUCAGCCACACUGGAACUGAGACACGGUCCAGACUCCUACGGGAGGCAGCAGUGGGGAAUAUUGGACAAUGGGCGCAAGCCUGAUCCAGCCAUACCGCGUGGGUGAAGAAGGCCUUCGGGUUGUAAAGCCCUUUUGUUGGGAAAGAAAUCCAGCUGGCUAAUACCCGGUUGGGAUGACGGUACCCAAAGAAUAAGCACCGGCUAACUUCGUGCCAGCCGCCGCGGUAA